UACGUAGGGUGCAAGCGUUGUCCGGAAUUAUUGGGCGUAAAGAGCUCGUAGGCGGUUUGUCGCGUCGGCUGUGAAAUCCCGAGGCUCAACCUCGGGUCUGCAGUCGAUACGAGCAAACUAGAGUGUUGCAGGGGAGACUGGAAUUCCUGGUGUAGCGGUGAAAUGCGCAGAUAUCAGGAGGAACACCGAUGGCGAAGGCAGGUCUCUGGGCCGAUACUGACGCUGAGGAGCGAAAGCGUGGGGAGCGAACAGG
This 253-nucleotide ribosomal RNA is filed under the name uncultured bacterium. RNAcentral describes it as "partial 16S ribosomal RNA". It matches the Rfam family "Bacterial small subunit ribosomal RNA", at positions 524 to 776 of the family's 1533-position model. The record is from RNAcentral.